This 502-nucleotide unclassified non-coding RNA is filed under the name Athalia rosae (coleseed sawfly). RNAcentral describes it as "misc RNA ENSAEAG00005002644.1". Lineage: Eukaryota; Metazoa; Arthropoda; Insecta; Hymenoptera; Athaliidae. The record is from RNAcentral.
GCUGCAGUCUCAAGUCCCAAGACUCAUGAUGAUUCAUCAAAACUCCGUUUCUGAAUAUUAAUACUACUCUAACUUCAAUGCAACUUCAUUUUUGAAAUCGGAAAAACAAGUAUACACUGAGGAAAAAAAUGCUCAGGGCAAGGGCAAUAUGAGUUGAAAAAUAUUAAUCCAAGAGGUAUUCCGUCUUGGAUUCGACGGCAGUUCGGCUUCGGCGACAGAAGAGGCGACAUCGGGAGCGACAUCAGUAGCAAAGCAGGUCCCUCAGAGCGACGAUGAAGAGAGAGAACGAUGACCAUUGCGUGAUGGAACCGAAUCAGGACAUCGAAGAGUCUCUCCAAAGAUCGACGCCUCUCCAUCCUGAUGAUGAUCAGAUGAUGGAUCUGCAACACAUGAGACGUACAACACCUUCCUUUUGCGAAGGUAUGUUUCAUCUAAUUUAUCCCUUUCGAGAGUCCAUAGUAUAUUCCAACAUUUAGAGUCUGCGUAUAUGAAUUGCACCCCC